This 711-nucleotide ribosomal RNA is filed under the name uncultured bacterium. Its description in RNAcentral is "bacterial SSU rRNA". It matches the Rfam family "Bacterial small subunit ribosomal RNA", at positions 94 to 820 of the family's 1533-position model. The record is from RNAcentral.
AGUGGCGAACGGGUGAGUAACACGUGAGCAAUCUGCCCUUGACUCUGGGAUAACUACGGGAAACUGUGGCUAAUACCGGAUACGACACCUUGGGGCAUCCCCGGGUGUGGAAAGAAUUUCGGUCAAGGAUGAGCUCGCGGCCUAUCAGCUAGUUGGUGAGGUAAUGGCUCACCAAGGCGACGACGGGUAGCCGGCCUGAGAGGGCGACCGGCCACACUGGAACUGAGACACGGUCCAGACUCCUACGGGAGGCAGCAGUGGGGAAUAUUGCACAAUGGGCGAAAGCCUGAUGCAGCAACGCCGCGUGAGGGAUGAAGGCCUUCGGGUUGUAAACCUCUUUUAGCAGGGAAGAAGCGAAAGUGACGGUACCUGCAGAAAAAGCACCGGCUAACUACGUGCCAGCAGCCGCGGUAAUACGUAGGGUGCAAGCGUUGUCCGGAAUUAUUGGGCGUAAAGAGCUCGUAGGCGGUUUGUCACGUCUGCUGUGAAAAUCCGAGGCUCAACCUCGGACCUGCAGUGGGUACGGGCAAGCUAGAGUGCGGUAGGGGAGAUGGGAAUUCCUGGUGUAGCGGUGGAAUGCGCAGAUAUCAGGAGGAACACCAAUGGCGAAGGCACAUCUCUGGGCCGUAACUGACGCUGAGGAGCGAAAGCGUGGGGAGCAAACAGGAUUAGAUACCCUGGUAGUCCACGCCGUANACGGUGGGUGCUAGU